Molecule: ribosomal RNA, 495 nt
Filed under: uncultured bacterium
Lineage: Bacteria
Description: partial 16S ribosomal RNA
Rfam family: Bacterial small subunit ribosomal RNA
Source: RNAcentral
GACGAACGCUGGCGGCGUGCCUAAUACAUGCAAGUAGAACGCUGAAGGAGGAGCUUGCUUCUCUGGAUGAGUUGCGAACGGGUGAGUAACGCGUAGGUAACCUGCCUGGUAGCGGGGGAUAACUAUUGGAAACGAUAGCUAAUACCGCAUAAGAGUAGAUGUUGCAUGACAUUUGCUUAAAAGGUGCAAUUGCAUCACUACCAGAUGGACCUGCGUUGUAUUAGCUAGUUGGUGGGGUAACGGCUCACCAAGGCGACGAUACAUAGCCGACCUGAGAGGGUGAUCGGCCACACUGGGACUGAGACACGGCCCAGACUCCUACGGGAGGCAGCAGUAGGGAAUCUUCGGCAAUGGACGGAAGUCUGACCGAGCAACGCCGCGUGAGUGAAGAAGGUUUUCGGAUCGUAAAGCUCUGUUGUAAGAGAAGAACGAGUGCGAGAGUGGAAAGUUCACACUGUGACGGUAUCUUACCAGAAAGGGACGGCUAACUACGUG